This 5977-nucleotide long non-coding RNA is filed under the name Triticum aestivum (bread wheat). Its description in RNAcentral is "long non-coding RNA (TAES_LNC011523)". The record is from RNAcentral. Lineage: Eukaryota; Viridiplantae; Streptophyta; Magnoliopsida; Poales; Poaceae.
UUCAUAGUUCCAUUUUCCUAUUUUUGGCAGGGGUAUCUAAGAGAGCUGGUCCAGGCUUGAUGGAAAUCGCUUAGUACAUUCAUGGGAUCACAAACUUUUGGCGUUGGUUGAGAUUAGUGACGCAUGACCAUUAAUAACUAGAAGACUGUGACAAUUAACUUACUGUUUCAUGAAUUAGAGAGGCUGGGUUGGACCAACUCCAUGUUACAGGCCCUUUCCUCAUUGCAUUUCUCUUGACAUUAAAUUGAUUAAAUUAUAAUUUCAGUAGGAAAUCUACAACAUACUCAAAUCAUUAUGAUUACUCUUUCCUGUUUUUGUUUCUAUAUCUAAUUGAUAUAUAGAUUUUGCAUCUUGUCCUAUGACAUGUACUUCUGUAGUUGUGUCCAUUGGACUUACUCUUUUCAUUGUGGCAUCAUGAUUCCUCCUUUUCUUGGCUUGCUAUAUAUGUUUGUUUCAUGGUCCAGUUGGUGUUCCAAAAAUAUGCUCAAUUGUUAUAUGUAUCAAAUACAGUCUCUCCCAGUGGUGUACCAUCUGCUUAUUGUUUUACAUACAGUCGCUUGAUUAUUUUUGUUCCUCUAUAGGCCUCUGGUCUUGUCUGCAGUGUACGGCUAGGUUGUUCGUCCGCCUGGGUCGUAGGUUCUUUCCUUCCUGUUGACGGCAGGUACAAGACUCGAGCAAUGGUUAACGGGCAAGCACUAUAUACACCAUUCAUCUAUGCUAAUAUAGCCCGUCUUUUAAAGCCAAUGUAUGCUAUCACCAAUUGAUCGGAAUAUUUUCUUUCAAGCAUAGCUUUCAUGUAAUGGAAUAUAAGUAUCUUUAUAAGUUGAUUCUAAAUCAAUCUCAUACACAUACUUUGAAUGCUUGGCUCGCUCUCGCUUUUUGCGCCAUGGUCAAGGGUGCAACGAUGACUCUGUCUAAUGUUUAUCACUUCAUAGCGCCUAUAUGUGACUAUCUACUUUGUUUGCUAAUAACAUUGUAAAUAAUUAAUCGUAAGCUUCUUAGAACACUAUGUAUCAUUACUAAGUAUCUAUCUACCAGCAAUAAGUACUUAUUUUCAUAUGUUUCAAUAUGUGUCUGAAUAAUAUUAAUGUACACUCUUUCAAUACAUGGCUUACUCUCGGCCUUUGCGCCAUUGACGCAACUGGUCAUCUAGUUGUAUUCAAAGACUAAUCUUCUAUUGUAUUCGAUGAAUCUGUUGUUGAUGUGUGCUGUCUAUAUUUUGUCAAAUUAUACAUUUUGUAACCUGUGCAAAACACAGAAAAUAAAAAAACCUAAUAUUCAUACUAAUGGCGCAUCACAUGACAGUGCGCCAUUAGUAUGACAAAGCAUACUAAUGGCGCAUCACUGGACAGUGCGCCAUUAGUAUGCCACGGUUACUAAUGGCGCAUCCCGUGGUCGUGCGCCAUUAGUAUGCCAAAGCACCUGGGUAUACAUGGCCCCUGGGAGGCAUACUAAUGGUGCACCGUGGCCUAUACUAAUGGCGCACCAGUGGUGCGCCAUUAGUAUACCAGAUACUAAUGGCGCACCACUGAUGCGCCAUUAGUAAAAAUUACUAAUGGCGUGCUAGUAAUGGCGCACCAGUGAUGCGCCAUUAAUGGCCAAAUUAGGUGCGCCAUUAGUAGCGGUUUUUCUAGUAGUGAGGAGAGGAUGAUGCAGUAAAGUAGCGUAAGUAUUUCCCUUAGUUUUUGAGAACCAAGGUAUCAAUUCAGUAGGAGACCACGCACAAGUCCCUCGUAUCUACACAAAAUGAUAGCAACUCGCAACCAACGCUUAGGGGUUCUCAAUCCCUUCACGAUCACUUACGAGAGUGGGAUCUGAUAGAUAAUAUUUUUGGUAUUUUUGAUUGAUAGAUGCAAAGUAAAAAGGUAAAAGGCAAAGUAAAAAACAAAGCAAGUAAAUAAAGUGAUAGAGAUUGAUAUGAUGAGAAUAGACCCGGGGGCCAUAGGUUUUACUAGUGGCUUCUCUCAAGAGCAUAAGUAUUCUACGGUGGGUGAGCAAAUUACUGUUGAGCAAUUGACAGAACUGAGCAUAGUUUUGAACAUAUCUAGGCAAUGAUCAUGUAUAUAGGCAUCACGUCCAAAACAAGUAGAAAACGAUUCUGCAUCUACUACUAUUACUCCACUCAUCGACCGCUAUCCAGCAUGCAUCUAGAGUAUUAAGUAAAAACAGAGUAACACUUUAAGCAAGAUGACAUGAUGUAGAGGGAUAAAUUCAUGCAAUAUGAUAAAAAAAACCAUCUUGUUAUCCUUGAUGGCAACAAUACAAUACGUGCCUUGCAACCCUUUGUGUCACUGGGUAAGGACACUCCAAGAUCGAACCCAAAGCUAAGCACUUCUCCCAUUGCAAGAACUACCAAUCUAGUUGGCCAAACCAAACGGAUAUUUCGAAGAGACUUGCAAAGAUAACUCAAUCAUACAUAAAAGAAUUCAGAGAAGAAUCAAAUAUUUUCCAUAGAUAAUCUGAAUCAUAAACCCACAAUUCAUCGGUCUCAACAAACACACCGCAAAAAGAAGAUUGCAUCGAAUAGUUCUCCACAAGAGAGGGGGAGAACAUUGUAUUGAGAUCCAAAAAGAGAGAAGAAGCCAUCUAGCUACUAUCUAUGGACCCAAAGGUCUGAAGUAAACUACUCACACUUCAUCGGAGGGGCUAUGGUGAUGAUGUAGAAGCCCUCCAUGGUGGAUGCCCCCUACGACGGAGCUCCGGAACAGGCCCCAAGAUGGGAUCUCGUGGAUACAGAAAGUUGCGGCGGUGGAAUUAGGUUUUUGGCUCCUCUUUUCAUCGUUCAGGGAUACAUAGGUAUAUAUAGGAGGAAGGAGUACGUCGGUGGAGCGUCGAGGGGCCCACGAGGUAGGGGAGCGUGCCCAGGGGGGCCCUCCACCCUUAUGACCGCCUGUGGCACUACUUGGAGUAGGGUCCAAGUCUCCUGGAUCACGUUCGGUUGGAAAAUCACGAUCCCGAAGGUUUCAUUCCGUUUGGACUCCGUUUGAUAUUAUGUUUCUUCGAAACACUGAAAAAGGCAAAAAAAACAGCAAUUCUGGGCUGGGCCUCCGGUUAAUAGGUUAGUCCCAAAAGUAAUAUAAAAGUGGAAAAUAAAGCCCAAUAUAGUCCAAAACAGUAGAUAAAGUAGCAUGGAGCAAUCAAAAAUUAUAGAUACGUUGGAGACGUAUCAGGCAUCCCCAAGCUUAAUUCCUGCUCGUCCUCAAGUAGGUAAAUGAUAAAAAAAAAAGAAUUUUUGAUGUGGAGUGAUACUUUGGCAUAAUUUCAAUGUAAAACUUCUUAAUUGUGAUAUGAAUAUUCAGAUCCAAAAGAUUCAAGACACAAGUUCAUAUUGACACAAAAAUAAUAAUACUUCAAGCAUAAUAAUCAAAGCAAUCAUGUCUUCUCAAAAUAACAUGGCAAAAGAAAGUUCAUCCCUACAAAAUCAUAUAGUUAGGCUAUGCUUUAUUUUUGUCACACAAAGAUGUUCCCAACUUCUAUACCCCCGAUGACAAGCCAAGCAAUUGUUUCAUACUUAAAUAAUCUCAAACUUUUUCAACCUUCACGCAAUACAUGAGUGUGAGCCAUGGAUAUAGCACUAUGGGUGGAAUAGAAUAUGAUGAUGGGGAUUGUGUGGAGAAGACAAAAAAGGAGAAAGUCUCACGUUGACGAGGCUAAUCAACGGGCUAUGGAGAUGCCCAUCAAUUGAUGUCAACAUGAGGAAUAGGGAUUGCCAUGCAACGGAUGCACUAGAGCUAUGAAUGCUCAACAAAAGAAAACUAGUGGGUGUGCAUCCAACUUGCUUGCUCAUGAAGACCUAGGGCAUUUGAGGAACCCAUCGUAGGAAUAUACAAGCCAAGUUCUAUAAUGAAAAAUUCCCACUAGUAUAAAAAGACAACUUAUGAGACUCACUACAUGAAGAACAAGGUGCUACUUUGAAGCACAAUAUAUGAGACUUAUUACAUGAAGAACAAGGUGCUACUUUGAAGCACAAGUGUGGAAAAAGAGAUAGUAGCAUUGCCCUUUUCUUUUUAUUUUUUUGGGCCUUUCUUUUUUUUUAUAUUUUGGCCUUUCCCUUUUUUUUAUUUGGGCAAUGCUCUAAUAAUGAUGAUCAUCACACUUCUAUUGAUUACAACAUAAGGAUUAGAACUCGAGACUUAGAACAAGAUAUGACUCUAUAUGAAUGCCUCCGGCGGUGUACCGGGAUGGUGCAAUGAAUCAAGAGUGACAUGUAUGAAAAAUAAUGCAUGGGCUUUGCCACAAAUAUGAUGUCAACUACAUGAUCAUGCAAUGGCAAUAUGACAAAAGUAAUGUAUGUCAUGAUGAUGAUGGUGGAAGUUGCAUGGCAAUAUAUCUCGGAAUGGCUAUGGAAAUGCCAUGAUAGGUAGGUACGGUGGCUGUUUUGAGGAAUAUAUAAGGAGGUUUAUGUGUGAUAGAGCGUAUCGUAUCACGGGGUUUGGAUGCACCGGUGAAGCUUGCACCAACUCUCAAGGUGAGAAAGGGCAAUGCACGGUACCGAAGAGGCUAGCAAAGGCGGAAAGGUAAAAGUGCAUAUAAUCCAUGGACUCAACAUUAGUCAAAAGAACUCAUAUACUUAUUGCAAAAAUUUAGAAGUCAUCAAAAAUCAAGUACUACGCGCAUGCUCCUAGGGGGAUAGAUUGGUAGGAAAAGAGCAUCGCUCGUCCCCGACCGCCACUCAUAAGGAUGCACAAGCCAGGUACACUUCAUAUUUCAAAUUUGUUACAUAACUUUAACCAUACGUGCAUGCUACGGGACUUGCAAACUUCAACACAAGUAUUUCUCAAAUUCAUAAUCAUCCAACUAGAACGACUUUGAUAUUAUCACCUCCAUAUCUCAAACCAAUUAUCAAGCAUCAAACUUAUCUUAGUAUUCAAUUCACUCAAAAGAAAGGUUCACAUAUCUUGAACACCAAGUACAUUAACAUUAAGCAAAUUACCAUGCUAUUAAUGACUCUCAAAAUAAUCUAAGUGAAGCAUGAGAGAUUAAUAGUUUCUUUAAAACAAAUCCACCACCGUGCUCUAAAAGAUAUAAGUGAAGCACUAGAGCAAAAAUUAUCACGCUCAAAAAGAUAUAAGUGAAGUACUACGAGCAAAACUAUCAAGCUCAAAAGAUAUAAGUGAAGCACAUAGAGUAUUCUAACAAAUUCCAAAUCAUGUAUGGCUCUCUCAAAAGGUGUGUACAGCAAGGAUGAUUGGGGUAAACUAACAAGCAAAGACACAAAUAAUACAAGACGCUCCAAGCAAAACACAUAACAUGUGGUGAAUAAAAAUAUAGCUCCAAGUAAAUUACCGAUGGAAGUGGACGAAAGAGGGGAUGCCUUCCAGGGCAUCCCCAAGCUUUGACUUUUUGGUGUCCUUGGAUUAUCUUGGGGGUGCCAUGGGCAUCCCCAAUCUUAGGCUCUUGCCACUCCUUGUUCCAUAAUCCAUCAAAAGAAUUCACCCAAAACUUGAAAACUUCACAACACAAAACUCAACAGAAAUCUCGUGAGCUCCGUUAGAGAAAGAAAACAAAAGACUACUUCAAGGUACUGUAAUGAACUCAUUCUUUAUUUAUAUUGGUGUUAAACCUACUGUAUUCCAACUUCUCUAUGAAUUAUAAACUAUUUUACUAGCCAUAGAUUCAUCAAAAUAAGCAAACAACACAUGUAAAACAGAAUCUGUCAAAAACAGAACAGUCUAUAGCAAUCUGUAACUAACGCAUACUUAUGGAACUCUAAAAUUCUACAAAAAUAGGAAGUCCUGGAAAUUAUGUUUAUUGAACAGCAAAAAAAAGAAUAAAUGCAAAAUCACGUUCCUGUGAUUUAACAAAAUUAUAUUCGUGCGUGCAAGGUUUCUGUUUUUCAGCAGAAUCAAAUCAACUAUCAUCAUAGGUUAUCCUAUAGGUUCUACUUGGCACAAACACUAAUUAAAAGACAAAACCACAUCUAAACAGAGGCUAGAUGGAUUAUUUAUUACUAAGCAGAAACAAAAACAAAAAACAC